CAGGAAUGAAAAGAAUUUUCAUGUUUACGGAUAAGUGGGUGUAAUUGCUGAAGGAUAAUUUCUCACAAGCUGUGAAGAAUCCUGUCUACACAUUAUGAAAGAUUCUUUGUUGCCAAGAAUUUCAGUGUUGCGAAUUUGGAAAUGCAAAAGAUAAAGGUGUGCCUUGACCUUUACGGCUAGGCAUGAAUCCAAAGAAGAAAUGCUGAGGAAAAAAUAAAGUUAUGGGAACACUUAAUCAUGACCUAAAGUCAUUGAAAAGUGACAGAAAUUAAUCAAUUGCUCAUACAGGAGUCCCAGUGUGAUUCAGGCCAGAGUAAUACAAAUAUUAUCCUGCUUAAAAAGUUUUGGUGUCUGCUAAUCCUCACGAAGAAAGAAAUCAGAAGUUAUUUAGGUGAAUCACUGAAAUUAUCCACUCUCUACUGCUGUGUAGCGUACUAUAUAGCAGUCAGUAAUGCUGACUCAUAAAACAACAAACUAUCAGA
Molecule: long non-coding RNA, 482 nt
Organism: Mobula hypostoma (lesser devil ray)
Lineage: Eukaryota; Metazoa; Chordata; Chondrichthyes; Myliobatiformes; Myliobatidae
Exons: 4
Source: RefSeq, a predicted model, not a curated record